Molecule: long non-coding RNA, 482 nt
Organism: Mytilus californianus (California mussel)
Lineage: Eukaryota; Metazoa; Mollusca; Bivalvia; Mytilida; Mytilidae
Exons: 3
Source: RefSeq, a predicted model, not a curated record
UCAUUCGUAUUUAACAUCAGCGCCAGAAGUCGCAAUGACUUUUCUAUCACGUCUAAUACGACAAGUAGGUUUUAUUCCCUAACUGCUAAAGGACAACUGCACAAUGAGAGCCUUCUUUGCUUUUUGCAUCGUAAUGAUAUGUUUGUCGGGUUUGGAACAUCCUGUUGCUGCUGUUAAAUGCUUCCAAAGUUAUUGUAGAAAUAGAUCUGACUGCAGAGAGGGGUGUAACGACAUUGGUUGUUUCACAAAACUUUCCUGCAAUGUCGAAAGAGGGCGAUGCUGCUGUGAUGGUUGUAUCUCCAAUUAAUAAACUGGAAAAUUCAGAACUUAAAAUUUUGAACAGUGUCGAGACUGCGUUUAUGCAUGCAUAUUAAAUUAUUACAUUAGUCUACGCUCUGAAUUACAAAAUGUUUCUGGCACUUUGAUUGGUAGUUUUAUUAAUUGUUACCCAUCAUCAUUGAUUACAAUAUUUGAACAUUUCA